GCCGAAGUGGUGGAAUUGGUAGACACGCUAUCUUGAGGGGGUAGUGGGCUUACGCUCGUGCCGGUUCAAGUCCGGCCUUCGGCA
This 84-nucleotide transfer RNA is filed under the name Alloalcanivorax dieselolei B5. RNAcentral describes it as "Alcanivorax dieselolei B5 tRNA". It matches the Rfam family "tRNA". Rfam says of the family: Transfer RNA (tRNA) molecules are approximately 80 nucleotides in length. Their secondary structure includes four short double-helical elements and three loops (D, anti-codon, and T loops). Lineage: Bacteria; Pseudomonadati; Pseudomonadota; Gammaproteobacteria; Oceanospirillales; Alcanivoracaceae. RNAcentral also lists the same sequence under 1 other name. The record is from Rfam by way of RNAcentral.